GGGGGCGCACUGGUUUCGACGGGUGUGAACGUAGUGUUAAAGUGCAUGUCCGGGGUUGGUUUGCGCCCCGGUUAUAAACGCGAACCAUCGCUUAUUCGGCACAACAGAAUACGCACUCGCAGCUUAAAAUAAGUUGCCGUCAAUCCAGAGGAUACCAGUACCACUGAGGCGACGUACCAAUCACUGGUGUAGCUCGCUUAACUUUCCGUCUGUAGGUUAACUUGCGAACUUAAUCAGGCUUGCGGCUGAUAUAGCCCGCCCUAGGCGCUAUCAGCAAGAGGAUAAAUUAGGGGGCUAAGCAUGUAGGACUAGGCACAACGCACAUUCGGACAUGGGUUCGAUUCCCAUCGCCUCCACUU
Molecule: transfer-messenger RNA, 359 nt
Filed under: Oligoflexaceae
Lineage: Bacteria; Pseudomonadati; Bdellovibrionota; Oligoflexia; Oligoflexales
Also listed under: 1 other name
Description: GCA-2725955 sp002725955 Standard tmRNA
Rfam family: transfer-messenger RNA
About the family: Bacterial tmRNA, also known as 10Sa RNA or SsrA, is named for its dual tRNA and mRNA-like properties. Its role is to liberate the mRNA from a stalled ribosome.
Source: RNAcentral